Nothobranchius furzeri (turquoise killifish) is the source of this 73-nucleotide non-coding RNA. The record is from the annotation of a RefSeq genome assembly. NCBI's taxonomy places the organism in Eukaryota, Metazoa, Chordata, Actinopteri, Cyprinodontiformes, Nothobranchiidae.
GCCCGACUAGCUCAGUCGGUAGAGCAUUCGACUUGUAAUCUCAGGGUCGUGGGUUUGAGUCCCACGCUGGGCG